UUGUGAAAGUUUAUCGUCGACUUUUUGAAUUUUAAAAAAUGACGUUACGUUUUGAAACAAUGUUUUUUUCGUUUAUCACACAGUCUACAUAUAACGAUAUCUAGGCUUUAUAUGGACCGAUUUAAUCGAAAUAAAGACCCAAAUAGUGUUUAUGGGACAUCUAGGAGUGCCAACAAAGAAGAUGGUGAAAGACAGCUCCUGCUGUGGGCCUGGAGAACCUGAGCUGGAGACCCUGAGAGACGGAGGGUGGAACGGAGGAGAGGAAUAGAAGGAGGAAAGGCCUCGCCCCACUCCACCUUGUUUUCUGUUCCCCCAGCAGGUCCAUGGGAUCCAGACUGGAAGGAAAGUGUCCCAGCUUUGACUCAGAUUGGGAGAAAACAAACCGGCGUCACAUGGGACAGAUGGCAGAUUACCCUGAGGAAGAACACUGUGCACGGUCGGGAGGGAUUAUCUCAAAUGUACAUCUUGAUCCCAGGCUGUGCCAUCCUCAUUUGCUUCCUCAUUUACAAAUUAUCAGGAGAAGUAAAUCACUCGCAGUGAUGUGUACCCGAUUACAUGUACUGUUAAAGCCCUGUAUUAAUGUGUAAGAGAAUUACAGACAUUUGCACAGCGUUAUGUAA
Long non-coding RNA from Oncorhynchus nerka (sockeye salmon), 620 nucleotides. RefSeq lists it as uncharacterized. NCBI's taxonomy places the organism in Eukaryota, Metazoa, Chordata, Actinopteri, Salmoniformes, Salmonidae. The record is from RefSeq and is a predicted model, not a curated record. The transcript has 2 exons.